This 1169-nucleotide long non-coding RNA is filed under the name Equus caballus (horse). RNAcentral describes it as "lncRNA (ENSECAG00000058970.1)". Lineage: Eukaryota; Metazoa; Chordata; Mammalia; Perissodactyla; Equidae. The record is from RNAcentral.
CAGAGCGCUGACCUAAAGAUUAAUUGCUGGGCUGGACUGAAAGCUGGAUAAACGCUGCCUGGACUCUGGCGCUGCGUGCGCACCUUGAAAAGUGAGGAAACGUGGCUGGGCAGAAGCUCAGGCAGAUCUGCACCCCUCUGAGCUGCCAGGGAGAACGUCAUACUUCCCUCCAAAUGACCAUCAGGUUGCUUGACUGGGAGUCCAGGUUUCUGCCAGAAUGCAUUUGAGACUAAAAUCCCCUCCUGCUAUACUGUCUAGCGCUUUUCCUCUCGGACCAGUAACAUCUGCAUCCCCAGGGGGAAUGCAGAAGCUCAGGGCCUCAGCUAGAUUUGCUGAAUAGGAAUCUGCAUUCCAACAAAUCCCCGGGUGACUGGAGAGCGCUGGGUUUGCAUAGCACCGCUCAACACACCUCUCAGUUGCUUGAACCUCAGACGGGCUGCAGGGAGGAGCGAGGGGGCCCUGUGGGAAGCCUUGCCUGCAAUCAGCGGGGCUGGAAGCAGAAAUGGACCUGAGGCCAGGCCAGGCAGCUGGAGAGAGCACUGGAGCCACACACCUGGGUGGAGUCGUGUGUGGGGCCCCAAAGGGCCAAACCCCAGCUCUGUCCUCAAUGGGGGUCGGGCACAUGCCUUUGGUUUGGCCAAUUCAGCUCUCCUGGAAAUGGUCUCUGAUCCCUCUCUCUGGACUCCUAUUAGAUUCCCAAAGUUUCCUCCUCAACCUAAGAUGGCUUCGGGUGCUCCAGCCACUACAUCCAUAUUCCAGCGUAGGAGGAAGGAGAGGAGGAUGAAGAGGAAACAUCAACAGUCUUUAAAAGAAGAUUCCCAGAAGCUACCACGAAUUUUUUGCUUUACAUGCGAUCGGCCAGAACUUAGUCAUAUGACCACACUCAGCUGCAAGGAAGUCUGGGAGAUAUAGUCUUAUUCUAGGCAUCUACGUUCCAGAUAAAACUGUGGGCUCUCUGACUGUGAAGGAAGGGUAGAGCAGAUAUUGGGAGCCAUUGUCCCCACCUUAAAUUUCUCCAGGUGCAGGGCUAGCCAAAUAAGCCUCUCCCUUUGGCCUCUGCCCCUUGCCGCACAAGCCCAGUAUCAGUGACUCCACCUUGCGUCUGCUUCUCUGGCUCUACGGGCAAUUUUUGUUUAUCAGCCUCAACUUCUACCUCUGGGUCCCAAUUU